AGAUUGAACGCUGGCGGCAUGCCUAACACAUGCAAGUCGAACGGGAGUAGCAAUACUCUAGUGGCGGACGGGUGAGGAAUACGUAGGAAUUUGCCCUUAAGUGGGGGAUAACCCGGGGAAACCCGGAUUAAUACCGCAUGACCUCGAAAGAGCAAAGUGGGGGAUCGCAAGACCUCACGCUUUUGGAGAAGCCUACGUCGGAUUAGCUAGUUGGUGAGGUAAUGGCUCACCAAGGCGACGAUCCGUAACUGGUCUGAGAGGAUGAUCAGUCACACCGGAACUGAGACACGGUCCGGACUCCUACGGGAGGCAGCAGUGGGGAAUAUUGGACAAUGGGCGCAAGCCUGAUCCAGUCAAUGCCGCGUAGUGUGAAGAAGGCCUUACGGUUAGUAAAGCUACGUUUAAGGUUAGGGAAAGAAAAACGUACGACUUACGUAACGACAAGUAGAGUAC
Molecule: ribosomal RNA, 453 nt
Filed under: uncultured soil bacterium
Lineage: Bacteria
Description: bacterial SSU rRNA
Rfam family: Bacterial small subunit ribosomal RNA
Source: RNAcentral